UACGAAGGGGGCUAGCGUUGCUCGGAAUGACUGGGCGUAAAGGGCGCGUAGGCGGUUUGUACAGUCAGGUGUGAAAGCCCCGGGCUUAACCUGGGAAUGGCCGUCGAAACUGGCGAACUGGAGUGUGGCAGAGGGGGGUGGAAUUCCGCGUGUAGCAGUGAAAUGCGUAGAGAUGCGGAGGAACACCGAUGGCGAAGGCAGCCCCCUGGGCUGACACUGACGCUCAGGCACGAAAGCGUGGGGAGCAAACAGG
This 253-nucleotide ribosomal RNA is filed under the name uncultured bacterium. Its description in RNAcentral is "partial 16S ribosomal RNA". It matches the Rfam family "Bacterial small subunit ribosomal RNA", at positions 524 to 776 of the family's 1533-position model. The record is from RNAcentral.